RNAcentral lists this long non-coding RNA (396 nucleotides) under Selaginella moellendorffii. Its description in RNAcentral is "long non-coding RNA (SMOE_LNC001846)". The record is from RNAcentral. Lineage: Eukaryota; Viridiplantae; Streptophyta; Lycopodiopsida; Selaginellales; Selaginellaceae.
CAGAACAAUAUGGCAAAGAUUCAGCUCUCAACCAUAGUUUUGCAGCUUUUGUUCACCUCUCUUGUAGUUGCAAUGGCACUUGCAAUAGGUACUUUAAAAUUCAAAUCUCUAACCAUAAGAUUUGCUAAUAAAAUUUACAGGGGAGAACAACAUUAUCACUAGGAAACUCCUCCAAGGAUGUGGGGAUACUUUGGCACGAUGCUCCAAAGACGGUGAUUGUUGCCAAGGCCACUGUGCCUUCGCAGGCUCUGUGCUUGGCACCUGUCAGCCUAUUUAAUUAGCCACUUAAAUUACCUCAUAAACAUACUACCUAAGAGGAGUAAUUCAUCCAAUAAAUCUAUUUCCUUUGUGUGGCUUUAUAUACAAAUAUGGCUUUGUAUUUCUUGGCAAUGGCGA